GGUUAUGGCUAAGCGGUAGAGUGCUUGCCUCUCAUGUGCAAGGCCCUGGGUUCGAUCCUCAGCACCA
This 67-nucleotide transfer RNA is filed under the name Marmota monax (woodchuck). RNAcentral describes it as "tRNA.Glu". The record is from RNAcentral. Lineage: Eukaryota; Metazoa; Chordata; Mammalia; Rodentia; Sciuridae.